GCGGGUGGCGCACUCGCGGCGUUACGGUAGCGGCGGCGGGGCCGCGCCCCGGCCGUAAGAUGGCGGCGCCGGGCGGCCCGCGAGCAGCCCCCGGCCGCCGGGCGGGCACCGCGGCUGCCCCCCGAGCCUCGGCGCGGCGCCUGGGAGCGGCGGCGGACCCGCAUCGCUAGGUCACUUCUUUCUGAAAGGAGCAGAGUCAAACAUAGCUGCGCAUUUCUGGAUGACAGUGCUACAACCUGUUGCAAUGAAAGCAGGCUGUCAUUUUCACCUGUCCAUUUAGUCUACCCACCAAAUACCAGAGCUUAAGAAAGAACAGAGAAGACACCCAAAUUCAGGACCAUUGAAGUUUAGGAUCCAAGAAGACUGUUGGUAAACAGAAAUCUUUGAGAGAAGAGCAAGCAAACAAAACCAACAUCCUUAUCUCCAAAUUGCAGAGAGAUGAUUUGAAGUGUGGGCUGUUCAGUGGAUAUGGAAUUGGCUGGAUGGACACGCCCAGAGAGUGGUGGUCAAUGGCUCUAUGUCCAGAUGGAGGCCAGUGGCGAGUGGUGUCCCUCAGUGGUCUGUCUAGGAACAAGUCCUGUUUAAUGUCUUUAUCAGUGACAUAGACAGUGGGAUCGAGGGCACCCUCAGCAAGUUUUCAGAUGACACUAAGCUGAGUGGUGCAGUCAAUACACCAGAAGGAAGGGAUGACAUCCAAAGGGACCU
Long non-coding RNA from Anas platyrhynchos (mallard), 705 nucleotides. RefSeq lists it as uncharacterized. Lineage: Eukaryota; Metazoa; Chordata; Aves; Anseriformes; Anatidae. The record is from RefSeq and is a predicted model, not a curated record.